Molecule: ribosomal RNA, 210 nt
Filed under: uncultured bacterium
Lineage: Bacteria
Description: partial 16S ribosomal RNA
Rfam family: Bacterial small subunit ribosomal RNA
Source: RNAcentral
GUUCGGAUUGCAGGCUGCAACCCGCCUGCAUGAAGUUGGAAUCGCUAGUAAUCGCGGAUCAGCAUGCCGCGGUGAAUACGUUCCCGGGCCUUGUACACACCGCCCGUCACACCAUGAGAGUCGGGAACACCCGAAGUCCGUAGUCUGACCGCAAGGGGGACGCGGCCGAAGGUGGGUUCGAUAAUUGGGGUGAAGUCGUAACAAGGUAAC